Molecule: long non-coding RNA, 226 nt
Filed under: Crocodylus porosus (Australian saltwater crocodile)
Lineage: Eukaryota; Metazoa; Chordata; Crocodylia; Crocodylidae
Description: lncRNA (ENSCPRG00005003199.1)
Source: RNAcentral
CUGAAAACCACUGUUGACGCCUUCCAGAAUGAGCUGAGACUCUUGAAGGACAAGUUCCACAAAGACAGCAUGGGUGAAAUAGGUGAGCAGCUUGCACUACUGAAUCAGCACAGCCAGCUCAUCCAGACCAUCCUGGACAAAUUGGGUGACUUGCAGGAAGAGCUGAACUCUUUCCCCAAGCAGGCAGACCUGGUACAAUGGAGCUGUCUCUUCAGGUCUCUUGCUG